RNAcentral lists this ribosomal RNA (430 nucleotides) under uncultured bacterium. RNAcentral's name for it is "bacterial SSU rRNA". It matches the Rfam family "Bacterial small subunit ribosomal RNA", at positions 355 to 776 of the family's 1533-position model. The record is from RNAcentral.
UAAGGAAUAUUGGUCAAUGGGCGCAAGCCUGAACCAGCCAUGCCGCGUGAGUGAGGAAGGUUUUCGGACCGUAAAGCUCUGUCGAGCGGGAAGAAAUGCAUGGUGGCUAAUAUCCAUCAUGCUUGACGGUACCGCUAAAGGAAGCACCGGCUAACUCCGUGCCAGCAGCCGCGGUAAUACGGGGGGUGCAAGCGUUGUUCGGAAUCAUUGGGCGUAAAGAGCGUGUAGGCGGCUGGAUAAGUCAGAUGUGAAAGCCCUGGGCUUAACCCAGGAAGUGCAUUUGAAACUGGGAGGCUAGAGUACUGGAGAGGGUGGUAGAAUUCCACGUGUAGCGGUGAAAUGCGUAGAGAUGUGGAGGAAUACCAGUGGCGAAGGCGGCCACCUGGACAGUAACUGACGCUGAGGCGCGAAAGUGUGGGUAGCAAACAGG